Streptomyces violaceusniger Tu 4113 is the source of this 75-nucleotide non-coding RNA. The record is from Rfam. Lineage: Bacteria; Bacillati; Actinomycetota; Actinomycetes; Kitasatosporales; Streptomycetaceae.
CUUGAGCGCGCCCAGCCACAGCGGGCGGCCCUCCGGCCGCUCUUGGCCGUAGGUGGCCAGCAGCGCCUGCGCCUC